CAGGAAUUACUAAAAACUGAAAUUAUUAUCUAUGGGAAACAUAAAACUAAAAGUCUAGGUAAGAGAAAGGCAUAAUAUAAAGUUGAGUUGUUGUUUAUUUUGUUCCUACUACACUAAGUUAUGGAGAUUUAUUUUGAAAACUUACAAAUCACAUGAUGAGUUCCUAGCAUUACAAACUACCUACCAUAGCCAUACUUGCUAUAACAUCUUUUACUAUAUUCACUUUGAGUUUGAUCGAGCUGUGUAACCCUUAGGAGCUUUUCAUGUGGUUAAAUUAAGAUAUUCACUUGCACACAUCUACCACAUGAUUCACCACCAAUCAUUAAAAAUCCUAAAAAUAUUAUCACUCACUGUCCCAAAUGUUUUUAUUCUCUCUCUCUAAAAAGAUUCAAUGCAGAAGAGACAUGGGUUAUGCAAAAAUAUGCGAGCAAAUAAAAAGGGGCAAGUGCCCGGAACCUCGGAAAAGAAAGAAAAAGAGUGAGACGAGAGGUAAAAAUGGACAAGUGUCCGGAGUAGAAUUAGGGGUACAAGAUGCCCACUUGAGCGGAAAAAAAUGGACAAGUGUCCGACAGUAGAAUUAGGGGUAUCUACUACCCAACUGAAAAAAAAGAGAAAAAGAUAGCCCAUGUUCUCCCAAAGCAAAGAUCAAAGAAGAGGAGAGAUAGCAAUAUGAGGAGCAAUG
Molecule: long non-coding RNA, 682 nt
Filed under: Sorghum bicolor (sorghum)
Lineage: Eukaryota; Viridiplantae; Streptophyta; Magnoliopsida; Poales; Poaceae
Description: long non-coding RNA (SBIC_LNC012278)
Source: RNAcentral